This is a non-coding RNA of Paramuricea clavata, 262 nucleotides long. The record is from the annotation of a GenBank genome assembly. NCBI's taxonomy places the organism in Eukaryota, Metazoa, Cnidaria, Anthozoa, Malacalcyonacea, Plexauridae.
GCUUAUAUUUGGAAUGAGGUGAGCGUUAGUACAUGUGGCACACCUGGGCUUAUACAUGGGGAGGCUUAUAUUUGGAGGGGCUUAUAGUCGGAGGUUUACAGUAUACUGUAGCUCUGACUAAACUCAGACCGAGCUCAAACUGCUCAUGCAAAUUAUCGUGAUGCAAUUUGAGCUCGUUUAACCGGGCUGAAAACUCUCCAUGUAUAAUGGUAAACAGUUUCUUCAUGCAUAAAAUGUGAGCCUGGGAUUUCUCGGAGGCAUA